AUUGAACGCUGGCGGCAGGCCUAACACAUGCAAGUCGAGCGGAUGAAGGGAGCUUGCUCCUGGAUUCAGCGGCGGACGGGUGAGUAAUGCCUAGGAAUCUGCCUGGUAGUGGGGGAUAACGUCCGGAAACGGGCGCUAAUACCGCAUACGUCCUGAGGGAGAUAGUGGGGGAUCUUCGGACCUCACGCUAUCAGAUGAGCCUAGGUCGGAUUAGCUAGUUGGUGGGGUAAAGGCCUACCAAGGCGACGAUCCGUAACUGGUCUGAGAGGAUGAUCAGUCACACUGGAACUGAGACACGGUCCAGACUCCUCCGGGAGGCAGCAGUGGGGAAUAUUGGACAAUGGGCGAAAGCCUGAUCCAGCCCUGCCGCGUGUGUGAAGAAGGUCUUCGGAUUUUAAAGCACUUUAAGUUGGGAGGAAGGGCAGUAAGUUAAUACCUUGCUGUUUUGACGUUACCAACAGAAUAAGCACCGGCUAACUUCGUG
Molecule: ribosomal RNA, 484 nt
Filed under: uncultured bacterium
Lineage: Bacteria
Description: partial 16S ribosomal RNA
Rfam family: Bacterial small subunit ribosomal RNA
Source: RNAcentral